This is a long non-coding RNA of Papio anubis (olive baboon), 2690 nucleotides long. Lineage: Eukaryota; Metazoa; Chordata; Mammalia; Primates; Cercopithecidae. The record is from Ensembl.
GUAGAAAUGACACUAGCUGUAAUUAAAUCCCUAUCAUUUUAGAAAUGGACAAUCCUAAAUUGCCACUUUUGUUUUCCCAAGCAAGAGUUUCCUCCUAUGAGUGCCUUGCUUCACUAACAUAUCUAAAUGUCUCUGUGUUUUCUAGUGCCCAUUUGCUCAAGCCACUAUCUGCUCUUCCUUGGAUUAUGACAGAAGCCCCUUAACUGAUGUCUUCAAUCCUCUCAGACCUUUUCAGAUCUGUUCUUAUUACAACAACUUCAAAAACUCAGAUGUGGAAACUCAAAUAAAGAGAGGUGAAAGAGUCCCCAGGACAACACAAAAAGGUGACAGAGCCACUGAAUUUAAAUCCACACCCUCUAAUUCAAGGUUAGUUCUCUUCUUGGUAACUGCUGUUUCCAAUAGUUUCAUGGAAACCACAAAAUAUUUUCUAAUUUAUCCUAAAUAUUUUAAAUAUUUUCAUGACAUUCUUUACUCCAAUGUAUAAUUACCCUCUUUCCUGAAUUCUUAAACUCUCUUCACAUUUACUUAAGUAGCUUGAUAUUUAAAUUAUUUUUGUUUUUGUUUUUUUCAGUGAGACUGUAAGUUCCCAGGGUGAGAGCUGUGUCGAAGGUUCCGUUUUUUUCUUUCAAAAUAUCAUGUGCACUUACUGAUUCAUAAUAGGCAUUCAAUAAAAAUUUGCUGAAUCAAGAAAUCCAGAUAUUCUAUUUUAUUUCCCAUUGUCCUUCUCCUUCUCAUUUUGAGCUGUCUUCAUGUGUCAGGCACUAUACUUAGCACAAUUCAUACCUUAUCGCAUUUAAACACAAUUAUUAUCUACUUUUCUUACUUAAGAAAACUGAGACACAAAGACAUUGGGUUUAUUUUCACAAGGCCACAGAGCUUGAGCCUUCAUCAACCUGAUGCCAGAGCCCAACCUCUUAACCAUUACAGGAUUUUGUCUCAAGACCACCCAUCAAUGCGGUAAUGGGAUCUACAGUUGAACCCAAGAGCUCUGGGUUUUUGGCUGCCAGCCUCAUCAUUAGCCUCUCCACCAGGGGAAUUCAACCAGCCAAAAAGCUGUGCAUUCUCUCCCCAGUAUUUCCUUCCACCUAAGUUAGCACUGUAUUCCCCAGAGUCACUUUCCACCCUGGCACACAAACCACAAGUAAAAAAACCCGGAGCAUCAAACACCAACAUUAGCAGGAUAAAGACUCCAUCUAAUCAUCCUACUAUAUCAUCAGACUGAGUCUCCAGAAUUCUAACUCUCUUUCACUCCAUUCCCUCUGCCUCUCUUGAGGCUUUCAUUUGAGCCUUUCCCUCCCAACUAAAACCAGAUAUGUAAAGAUGGUAUUAUAUUUCUUCACAGCUAAUAGCCAGACUAUGAAAUCAUCCAGCAAGCAACUCCCAAGCCAUGUGAAUCAGUCGUAACACAUUUCCCUCAUUUUUAUAACCCUGGAGAUGGAAGAAGGGCCAGGAGGUAGAUGAAGGGGAGGGUUAUUGCCAGGUAUUGUUAACGUUUUCCCUGGGUAAUUGAAGUAGGAGCAGUCCAGGUCAGAUUAGAAGCAAGAUCUUCUUGGAAAAGCUAGGACAUAACAGGGACCUGGUAGACCCAUAUUGGAUUGAUUAUGAAGCAGGAAGUGAAAUCUGACAUGCCUGACACUUAACACCCUAACCACAUCCUGUCUCCUAGACGAUGAGAAUAAAGAUAUUGUAUAUUCAGUGGCACUGACAUUUUUAUGCCUCUUAAUGAAAAGGGAAACAACUUUCUGGGACUGGUUGAAAGGAUAAGGAAGCAGAGAACACCUUCACGGCCUUUAAGGAAGAUAGGGGAUUUGAGUAGGAAGUUGUAUAAGGAAGGAAACAUCAAGUCCUAUAUUUUGGGUGAAUAAAGCAAACUAAGUUGCGUCAGCCUGGGCAAAGAAUGCUUUGAGUGAGGAAAAAAAAUGAAACAGCAAUUGAAAACAGAAAAAUCCAGUAAUGAUUUCUUUAUUACCUGAAAUACUUGAGAUUUUUCAAUGUUUUCACUCUCAAGGUUUUCAACAAUUUUCAGAACUAAAGGUAUUUUAAAACUUGUAUUAAGUGUUGAUGGCUACUUGAGGAUGCAUGGGAUUGAAGCACUGCUGUAGGUGUCUAGCUUAAUAGCACAUCUUGAUCAAUAGAUGACAUUUUAUAAAUGCAGCUUGAGGAUUUCGACAGGUCCCUCUAAAUGACCCCCGUCAACAGCCCAGUCCACCUCCAAGUACCCUCUUCUAAACAACUGAAAAUAAGCAGAAAACAAUUUCUUGUUAUCGCUAGGAAGGAGAUAGUUCUAUUUCCCAAGUAAUCGGUUUCCAUGCAUAAGCAGCAAGAAAAUAUUCUUCUUGCCAUUCUGAACCUAAAUCAUUCUUGCUGUAAUAUAUGAUCAUUUUCUCAUAUUCCAUAUUAAAUAAAAGUGGAAAAUAGCUCAGUAUUUCUUUCAUUAUAAGGCUGUAGUUGACAUCAGUAGAUAAUAUCCAUUCUGCUGUCUUCAGAGGAGCGGAAAGACAGGUGAUUUUAUCCAACAUGGAACCACAGCCCCCAAACAUGAUGGAGCUGAGUAAAUCACUGGGUGGCCUGCCAGGAAUGACACCACAGGACUUGUCAUCAAUGGUGACAGCAACAAUAAUAUCUAGCACCUCAACAGCAUUGCAUAAUUUUGGAGAAUAUUUUUACAUAAAUCAUCAUAUUUGAUAGCC